Chelonoidis abingdonii (Abingdon island giant tortoise) is the source of this 1540-nucleotide non-coding RNA. The record is from RefSeq and is a predicted model, not a curated record. Lineage: Eukaryota; Metazoa; Chordata; Testudines; Testudinidae.
UGGGAAUUGGCCAGUAACAAGGAGUCUCCCCACAUGUGCGCCUACAAGCUGGUGACGGUGAACUUCCACUGGUGGGGCCUGCAGGGCUGCAUGGAGCAAUUCAUACACAAGAUGAGGCAGAAAGGCGCAGUGUGGGGGCUGACGGCCGGAGACAAGUGACCCCUGGCUGGUGCCAGCAGGACACUGACAUGGACUCUGCCCCCUCCCACCUGGGAGUGAGGACCCAGCUGCCUUGGUGGGACCCCAGGGAUCCCCCUUCUCGUUCCGUCCAGCUGGGGGUGCUGGGGACCCCCCGCCCUUACUGAUCACGGCCUAGUGAGCUCUGGUGGGACAGCCCCCCGCCGGCCCCCCCCAGGCGCUUCUGGGGCAGUGGGGGGUGCUGGCCCUGGCAACCCCCCCCCCACAAGCUGUCCCAGGUUUCAGCACGUUCCUGUCCCCCCUGGAAUCAUGGUGGGGGGAGCAGGGAGCCCCCAGAGGCUGAUUUUCAGAGUUGGGGGAGGGGAGGAUACCCCGGGCCAGGCAGCCUCUGUUGGGUUCCAUGUGCCUGUGGUGGGGGCAGUGGGGGGAUCUGCCCCCAGGACCCCCCCACAUUCUGUAACUCAGGAUGGUUCAAAAACGUGAUCAGUAAAGAACUUGUCAGAAACGAGCUGUGGCCGAAGCUGCUGGGGGCUCUGCUCUGGGGGGCGCUGAGGGCUGCCGGGCCGGGGAUGCCCAGUGGGUCCUGGCCCGAAACUGCCUCUCAUAUGGGAACUGCUGGAAACCACCUGCCCGGCUGAGGGGGGUGGGGGGAAAGUUCCCUGUGGGGGCCCCCCUGCUUCUGGGAAUCCACUCCUCCUCCCUCGGGUGGGGCCACGGGCUGGUGACACCCCCUCCCUGUAUGCAAAUUACCCCACCUGGAGCCCCGUUGGGCUGGGGGGCCACAGGUGGGACCCCCGCCUGGCUCUGGCGCUCCUGGGCUCUGCUCUGACCUGGGGCUUGGGUGCCUUGUCUGGGGCCAGUGGAGGGAUCUCAGGGGCUCACCCUUGGGCCGAGGGGGCUGGAGGCAGGAAUCAGUGGCGGCGGCCUGGGGGGGUUACUGGGGGGCCGUGCCCAGAGGAGUGUCCUGGCCCAGGCGUUGCCCAUGACGUGGCUCCGGGGAAAAGGGACCAGAAACAGCCCUGGUGCCGGGCACAGCUGGUUUCGCCCAGUGCUUUCAGUUAAAGCCGGCGGCUCACGUGAGGCUGAUCUGGGAAACUACAGCCUAGCGCUGGUGAGGGGUCCUGGGCCCACCCCCAGUGUCAGGUCAGGGGCCCAGCCCCUGCCACCCCCCCACUGGGCCCCAGAUAGGAUGGGGUGACACUGACAUUUUCCUUAGGACAAAGUUUCUGGGAAAUCCACGUGCCCCGGGUGAAACCCCCUCGCUUCCCCCGCCACCAGCUCUCACUCUGCGCUGGUUUCUUCAGCUCAGAGAUUCAUGAUGCAACCCCAGAGCUUCCUGCAAUAACCCCACUCCACUGCCCCCCCAGCACUGCAACUCAGCUGUGUGCUGGGGGGGGGGGCA